RNA transcript from Arabidopsis lyrata subsp. lyrata, 1406 nucleotides. It is a transcript of the gene named putative BPI/LBP family protein At3g20270, with no coding region annotated. The record is from RefSeq and is a predicted model, not a curated record. The transcript has 8 exons. NCBI's taxonomy places the organism in Eukaryota, Viridiplantae, Streptophyta, Magnoliopsida, Brassicales, Brassicaceae.
AUUGGACCAAUCCGUCAAGGAUUAAGCAAACGGAGAUAUGUGGCUUUAUACAUCAGCAGGAACAUAUUAGCUGUGGAUACAGACAUAGAUGAGAUGCUUGGACAUAUUUACUUGUUUUUGAAAGAUCAGCUUCAACUUUCCACUAUGCCUGCUUCAGGCAUUUUGCAUGGAACCCUGAUCGACCAACUGAGUGUUUGUGGCAAAUCGAAAGAAGAAGCUGAUGAGCUUGCUACAAAGAUCUGGCUGGCUCUUCUCGACAAUUUAGAGGACACUAAACAUACUUUCAUCGUGCUGAAAUCAAUCGCACAAGAAUAUGAUGGCUUUCUUCCAUAUCCAUAUUCAAGACCGAUCAAAAUCCAGUGGAAGGUGUUUGAGAAACUGUUUGUGGAUUUCCGCGACUUGCUUGAUCAUUCAGAGUAUUGCGACCUAAUAGGAAUUGCCAAGAAGAAGUUUCAAACAAUACCUUAUUUCUGUUAUCCACUUUAUUCUUCUUCUUCUUGGAAAUGGGUCUCAUGAAAGUAAUGACGAUUCUGGUUCUCUUCGUCUCGGUGUCAUCGACCUUGGCGCAAUCCAACAAUGGCGGUCACAUUUCGAUACUCGUCUCGGAAAUGGGUCUUGACUUUGCGAAAGAUUACCUUAUCAAGAAAGUGAUCACUGUGACGCUUCCGCUUCAGCUACCAGACAUUGAGAAUAAGGUUAAGAUCCCUUUAAUCGGGAAAGUUCGAAUGGGUCUAUCGAAUAUUCAGAUUGAUGCAGUUCAUGUCCAGUCUUCGAAGAUCGAGACGAGAAAAGAUGGAAUUGUUUUGAGUGUUUUAGGUGCUACAGCAAAUUUGAGCAUGGACUGGUCUUAUACUUAUAGAGCUUCCUUCUUUGAGAUUUCUGAUCAUGGAGAUGCUUCUGUCGAGGUUAAAGGAAUGGAUUUGAAAAUCACUGCCACUUUGGUUAAUGAUAAUGGAAGUCUAAAGAUUGUAUCACGAGAAAAUGAUUGUACAGUGGAAAAUAUUGAUAUUCAUAUCAAUGGUGGUGCUUCUUGGCUAUAUCAAGGGGUGGUUGAUGCAUUUCAAAAGAUGAUUAUAUCUACUGUUGAAAAGACUGUCUCUACUAAAAUUGUAGAAAAUAUGAAGAAGCUCGAUUCUUUCUUGCAAUCACUUCCAAAACAGAGAAAGAUUGAUGACGCUGCUGCAGUGAAUCUCACUUUUACAGGCAACCCUGUCUUAGGGAAUUCGUCGGUUGAAGUUGACAUUAAUGGUUUAUUCUUGCCAAAGGGUGAUGAUGUUAAAGUUUCAGGAUCUCGUUCUUCUUCCGUCUUUGGUGGGGUAAAGAGAAUGGUGACAAUUUCAGUAGAAGAAGAAGUUUUCAACUCUGCAACACUUGUCUACUUCAAUGCUCAGGUGAUGCAUUUAGUA